UGGUAGCAAUAUUGGACGCCUAGAGUGGCGGAAGGGCGAGGAACGCGUGAGCGACCUGCCCCUACGGCGGGGACAACCCGGGGAAACCCGGGCUAAAACCCGGUGGUGCUUCCCUUAGGCAUCUUUGGGAAGCUAAAUGCGGAGCAAUCCGCACCGAAGGGAGGGGCUCGCGUACCAUCAGCUUGUUGGCGGGGUAACGGCCCACCAAGGCUUACGGUUAGCUGGUCUGAGAGGACGACCAGCCGCAUUGGGACUGAGACACUGCCCAAACUCCUACGGGAGGCUGCAGUCGAGGAUCAUUCGCAAUGGGCGAAAGCCUGACGGUGCGACGCUGCGUGGAGGAUGAAGGCCUUCGGGUCGUAAACUCCUGUCAUGACGGAAGAGGCAGAGGGGAGGAAAUGCCCCCGAGUUGACGGUACGUCAAGAGGAAGCCACGGCUAACUCUGUGCCAGCAGCCGCGGUAAUACAGAGGUGGCGAGCGUUGUUCGGAUUUACUGGGCGUAAAGGGCGCGUAGGCGGCGUCGCGUGUCGCGUGUGAAAUCCUCGGGCCUAACCCGAGAAGUGCGCGCGAAACUGUGAUGCUUGAGUGCGGGAUGGGGAGUCGGAAUGCAGGGUGUAGCGGUGAAAUGCGUUGAUAUCCUGCAGAACACCGGAGGCGAAGGCGGACUCCUGGAACGCUACUGACGCUGAGGCGCGAAAGUCGGGGGAGCAAACAGGAUUAGAUACCCUGGUAGUCCCGACCCUAAACGGUGUACACUAGGGGUGGGCUGCGUCACAGCAGCCCGUCCCUGAGCUAACGCGUUAAGUGUACCGCCUGGGGAGUACGGCCGCAAGGCUAAAACUCAAAGAAAUUGACGGGGGCCCGCACAAGCAGAGGAGCAUGUGGCUCAAUUCGAUGCAACGCGAAGAACCUUACCUAGGCUUGACAUGCAGCUGCACGACCUAUGAAAGUAGUSUCUUCGCUUCGAGGGUGCUGCACAGGUGCUGCAUGGCUGUCGUCAGUUCGUGCCGUGAGGUGUUUGGUUAAGUCCAGCAACGAACGCAACCCCUGUGUCCAGUUGCCAGCGGGCGACGCCGGGAACUCUGGACAGACUGCCUAUUUACGUAGGAGGAAGGUGGGGAUGACGUCAAGUCAGUAUGGCCCUUACGCCUAGGGCUGCACACGUGCUACAAUGGCGCGCACAGAAGGUCGCCGCCGCGCGAGCGGCAGCUAAUCCCCAGAGCGCGCCCCAGUUCGGAUUGGGGUCUGCAACCCGACCCCAUGAAGUCGGAUUUGCUAGUAACGGCGCAUCAGCUACGGCGCCGUGAAUACGUUCCCGGGCCUUGUACACACCGCCCGUCAC
RNAcentral lists this ribosomal RNA (1343 nucleotides) under uncultured bacterium. RNAcentral's name for it is "bacterial SSU rRNA". It matches the Rfam family "Bacterial small subunit ribosomal RNA", at positions 74 to 1400 of the family's 1533-position model. The record is from RNAcentral.